GAAAAAGCAGGACAAUUUUUGCCAUCUCAAACGCGAUGAAGAGAGACUGUAAACUCUACAAAUUGCUUUGAUGUUCCGCCGUUGUCACAUUAUUUAUCCAGCAAUAUCCUCCAUUUUAAAAUAUCUCCAGCCCUCCCCCUUUUGUUGAAUUAAUAAUAAUUUAUAGCGAGAGAUUUCACUUGCAGCGUGAACCUAUCCUUCACUCUUCUUUUUCUUCCCGCGGUCACUUGUUAAAUAAUCUCUCUCUUUCUCUCUCCGUCUUAUUCUCUGUCUCUCAGUUUUGUUUGUUUCCCGCUCGCCUCAUGGGACACCCAGAGACAGACAGCCUUGCCAGAUUCAUUUUCUGAUCAAAGCUGUUUGAUUUGGUCAAUUUUGCCACAUUGGAGACGUUCUCUAUUACUGAGAUAAAUAGCCUCGGGCUAACUGUCAACGAAAACUUGUAAGCUAAUAAAUUAUUCCAAUUUCUUCCAGCUGGAUUUCUCUUGGGAGUCGGCCUCUAGGAAAUACACUUUUUGAUUAGUAAAUUUCUGCCCGUGUGUGUGUCUGUUUGGGUGUGCGAGCGUGCGCAUGUGUGUAUGUCUGGACAUUCGGAUGUGUCGUUUUUGAUUAGCGGGCAGGCUGCUGGAGUGGAAGGCGGCAGAGGGGGCUGUCAGUAGAAGGAGGCCUCUAAUGCAUUAUGCAUUGACAAGGCUUUGGAUCCUGCCACCUCCGCUGGCACGCCUGGGAGAGGAGGAGGCUGAGUCGGGCUCACCUGAGGGGCCUCUGCUCUGCUUCCCCCUCCUCGCUCCUCAGUCCUCUGCUCACACUCCUGGGGGAGAGGAAACUUUGACAGAAGCCAGCCCCCGCCGUCUUCGACACUGCUCCCCUCGGAAAACCCUCAGGGCUGCAGAACGGCAGGAGUGCUGCUGGGUAAUUACCUCUCAGCGUGCCGCACUGCUUCAUUAUGUCCUGCAACUCCAAUCCACUGAAACAUUUGUAAUUUAGUCUGGGAAGCUUCGCACAGGCCAUGCUGAGAGGAAGAUGGUUGUGUGUACAUGCUAGUGUGUGUGUGUGUGUGUGUGUGUGUGUGUGUGUGUGUGUGUGUGUGGGAGCAGCCGUGUGUGUUGGUGUCUG
RNAcentral lists this long non-coding RNA (1113 nucleotides) under Dicentrarchus labrax (European seabass). Its description in RNAcentral is "lncRNA (ENSDLAG00005029321.1)". Lineage: Eukaryota; Metazoa; Chordata; Actinopteri; Moronidae. The record is from RNAcentral.